Molecule: ribosomal RNA, 475 nt
Filed under: uncultured bacterium
Lineage: Bacteria
Description: partial 16S ribosomal RNA
Rfam family: Bacterial small subunit ribosomal RNA
Source: RNAcentral
AACGAACGCUGGCGGCAUGCCUAACACAUGCAAGUCGAACGAGACCUUCGGGUCUAGUGGCGCACGGGUGCGUAACGCGUGGGAACCUGCCCUUAGGUUCGGAAUAACUCCCCGAAAGGGGUGCUAAUACCGGAUAAUGUCUUCGGACCAAAGAUUUAUCGCCUUUGGAUGGGCCCGCGUUGGAUUAGCUAGUUGGUAGGGUAAAAGCCUACCAAGGCGACGAUCCAUAGCUGGUCUGAGAGGAUGAUCAGCCACACUGGGACUGAGACACGGCCCAGACUGUAACGAGGGGAGGACGGGGAGAGGCGGGGACAGUGGGGAAAAGUGUAGGAUGGCAAGGCGGUGGGAGGGAGGAAGGCUUGAGGGUUAUAAAGAUCUUUGACCCGGGAAGAAACUGACAGUACGGGGAAAAUAGGCUCCGGCUAACCCCGCGACAGCGGCGGAGGUAAUAGAGCGGAAGAACACACACCUGAAC